GGAAUUGUAGCUCAGUGGUAGAGUGCAUGCCUAGCAUGUGUGAAAUACUGGGUUUGAUUCUCAGCACCA
Molecule: transfer RNA, 69 nt
Filed under: Urocitellus parryii (Arctic ground squirrel)
Lineage: Eukaryota; Metazoa; Chordata; Mammalia; Rodentia; Sciuridae
Also listed under: 2 other names
Description: Spermophilus parryii (Arctic ground squirrel) tRNA
Rfam family: tRNA
About the family: Transfer RNA (tRNA) molecules are approximately 80 nucleotides in length.
Source: Rfam by way of RNAcentral